This 241-nucleotide long non-coding RNA is filed under the name Trifolium pratense (red clover). RNAcentral describes it as "long non-coding RNA (TPRA_LNC013039)". Lineage: Eukaryota; Viridiplantae; Streptophyta; Magnoliopsida; Fabales; Fabaceae. The record is from RNAcentral.
AAAUUUAAUAACUUCCGCUAACAGUUGCGCUUAAAUAAAGAAAAAAAAAAAAAAAGACUUUGAGGAAGUAUAAUUUUGUGAGGACCCCGUUGCAAGUUGUAGGUGCCUCUCAUCACUAAUCUCUCUCUCUCUCCACUGGCAUCGCAAUCGCAAUAAAUAAAUAAAUUAGAAGUCGAAUUGGAAUCAUCGUCACUCCAAACUUUGAUUUCAUUUUCCUCACUUUCUUUCGUUAUUCUCGAUC